This 452-nucleotide ribosomal RNA is filed under the name uncultured bacterium. Its description in RNAcentral is "partial 16S ribosomal RNA". It matches the Rfam family "Bacterial small subunit ribosomal RNA", at positions 28 to 507 of the family's 1533-position model. The record is from RNAcentral.
GAUGAACGCUGGUGGCGUGCCUAACACAUGCAAGUCGAGCGAUUCUCUUCGGAGAAGAGCGGCGGACGGGUGAGUAACGCGUGGGUAACCUGCCCUGUACACACGGAUAACAUACCGAAAGGUAUGCUAAUACGAGAUAACAUGCUUUUAUCGCAUGGUAGAAGUAUCAAAACUUUUGCGGUACAGGAUGGACCCGCGUCUGAUUAGCUAGUUGGUGAGGUAACGGCUCACCAAGGCGACGAUCAGUAGCCGACCUGAGAGGGUGAUCGGCCACAUUGGAACUGAGACACGGUCCAAACUCCUACGGGAGGCAGCAGUGGGGAAUAUUGCACAAUGGGCGAAAGCCUGAUGCAGCAACGCCGCGUGAGCGAUGAAGGCCUUCGGGUCGUAAAGCUCUGUCCUCAAGGAAGAUAAUGACGGUACUUGAGGAGGAAGCCCCGGCUAACUACGUG